This is a long non-coding RNA of Scylla paramamosain (green mud crab), 650 nucleotides long. RefSeq lists it as uncharacterized. The record is from RefSeq and is a predicted model, not a curated record. Lineage: Eukaryota; Metazoa; Arthropoda; Malacostraca; Decapoda; Portunidae. The transcript has 3 exons.
CAAUCUCCACAGUGGUGGUGAAGGCGCACACAUGGCACUUGAAGAAGGCCUCCUGCAUCUCUGGGAUCAGGUUGGACGUGCGGAUCACCAUGCCACAGAUUGUGAUGAGCUGAUCGAUCUCUGGCAGACAAAAGACAUAAGAUUGAGGGAGCGCAUGUUCUUGGUUUUCUCAGCAUUGAAGGGCCGCACUUGAAUCUGGUGCUCCAGGAUGGUGUCUGGGUAGCGCUCAAAGAACAUCUCAUUGAUUGCCAUGUCCAGGCUGGGGAUCACCUGUGCAGGGCAGCAAGCAGGAGAGGAAAGAAAAAGAGUUGUAUGUGAGGGCAGCCCAUAAAGAUGUGAAAGGAAAGAAAGGCUAGUUAACAGUACAACACAAUCCAAGAUUUUCAAAUGUAGCUGAUGAUGUAAAAGAGAAACAUCUAAUUCAACCCUAUCCCUUUUACAACUCUGGUCAUCCUUUGCUAACCUUCCUGCCACUGAAAAAAUUGUUUGGAUGGAGAGACAGGUGAGAAAAGAGAGAAAACAGGUUAAUAUUGCCUUUUUAUGCUGCAGAAUAUUUAUGAGAGCUUAGCACAAGAAUAGGAUAAAAAAAAGGUUAUAUGCACUAAAGUAGAAAAUUUGUAGAAGUAAAAGGAUUAAAAAAUAUCUCCCCA